AUCGAACCCGGAGAUAGCUGGUUCUCCUCGAAAUAGCUUUAGGGCUAGCCCCGUAACAGUCUUGCGGAGGUAGAGCACUGAAUUUCCUAGGGGGCGUCAAAGCCUACCGAAGAAUAUCAAACUGCGAAUGCCGUACAGAUGAUUUACGGGAGUCAGACUGCACGAGAUAAGUUGGGUGGUCAAAAGGGAAAGAGCCCAGACCCGCAGCUAAGGUCCCAAAGUGCGUGUUAAGUGGAAAAGGAUGUGGGAUUUCGAAGACAACCAGGAUGUUGGCUCAGAAGCAGCCACACAUUAAAAGAGUGCGUAAUAGCUCACUGGUCGAGAGGUCCUGCGCCGAAAAUGUCCGGGGCUGAAACACGACACCGAAGCUCGGGAAUCAGAAAUGAUUGGUAGAGGAGCAUUGAAGACGGAACGAAGCCAUACCGGAAGGAGUGGUGGACUGUCUUGAAGAGAGAAUGCCGGAAUGAGUAGCGAGAGAGAAGUGGGAAUCUUCUCGGCCGAAUAUCCAAGGUUUCCAGGGUAAAGCUGAUCUGCCCUGGGUAAGUCGGGGCCUAAGGCGAGGUCGGAAGACGUAGCCGAUGGACAACAGGUUGAAAUUCCUGUACUGUGAUAUAUCAGAACUGUGGGGACACAGCGGGAAGGCAUGGGCCGGAAAAGGAAAAUCCGGUGCAAGCACCAGAGGAGUAUGGCAGGCAAAUCCGCCAUGCAAUCCAAAAGUGUGAUGCGGAGCGAACAAAAGUAGCGAAGCAUGCUUACCGGCUGUCGAGAAAAGCCGCUAUUGCGUAUAUCACACCCGUACCGUAAACCGACACAGGUGGAUGAGGAGAGAAUCCUAAGGCCGGCGGGAGAAGCAUUGUUAAGGAACUCGGCAAAAUGACCCCGUAACUUCGGGAGAAGGGGUGCUCUUGAAAAAGAGCCGCAGAGAAUUGGCCCAAGCAACUGUUUAGCAAAAACACAGGUCUAUGCAAAACCGAAAGGUGAGGUAUAUGGGCUGACGCCUGCCCGGUGCUGGAAGGUUAAGAGGAGAGGUUAGCGCAAGCGAAGCUUUGAAUUUAAGCCCCAGUAAACGGCGGCCGUAACUAUAACGGUCCUAAGGUAGCGAAAUUCCUUGUCGGGUAAGUUCCGACCCGCACGAAAGGCGUAAUGAUUUGGGCACUGUCUCGACAAUGCACCCGGUGAAAUUGAAAUACCAGUGAAGAUGCUGGUUACCUGCGCCAGGACGGAAAGACCCCAUGGAGCUUUACUCUAGCUUGAUACUGGGAUUCGGUAUUGCAUGUACAGGAUAGGUGGGAGGCUGCGAAGUGAUGACGCCAGUUGUCACGGAGCCGAUGUUGGGAUACCACCCCUGCAGUACUGGGUUUCUAACCUGCGGCCGUAACCCGGCCGGGGGACAAUGUCUGGUGGGGAGUUUGACUGGGGCGGUCGCCUCCGAAAGAGUAUCGGAGGCGCUCAAAGGUUCCCUCAGAAUGGUUGGAAACCAUUCGAAGAGUGCAAAGGCAGAAGGGAGCUUGACUGCGACACCGACGG
Molecule: ribosomal RNA, 1527 nt
Filed under: human gut metagenome
Description: bacterial LSU rRNA
Rfam family: Bacterial large subunit ribosomal RNA
Source: RNAcentral